CCACUUCGGUGGGGAUUAGUGGCGAACGGGUGAGUAACACGUGGGCAAUCUGCCCUGCACUCUGGGACAAGCCCUGGAAACGGGGUCUAAUACCGGAUACUGACCAUCUUGGGCAUCCAAGGUGUUCGAAAGCUCCGGCGGUGCAGGAUGAGCCCGCGGCCUAUCAGCUUGUUGGUGAGGUAAUGGCUCACCAAGGCGACGACGGGUAGCCGGCCUGAGAGGGCGACCGGCCACACUGGGACUGACACACGGCCCAGACUCCUACGGGAGGCAGCAGUGGGGAAUAUUGCACAAUGGGCGAAAGCCUGAUGCAGCGACGCCGCGUGAGGGAUGACGGCCUUCGGGUUGUAAACCUCUUUCAGCAGGGAAGAAGCGAAAGUGACGGUACCUGCAGAAGAAGCGCCGGCUAACUACGUGCCAGCAGCCGCGGUAAUACGUAGGGCGCGAGCGUUGUCCGGAAUUAUUGGGCGUAAAGAGCUCGUAGGCGGCUUGUCACGUCGGUUGUGAAAGCCCGGGGCUUAACCCCGGGUCUGCAGUCGAUACGGGCAGGCUAGAGUUCGGUAGGGGAGAUCGGAAUUCCUGGUGUAGCGGUGAAAUGCGCAGAUAUCAGGAGGAACACCGGUGGCGAAGGCGGAUCUCUGGGCCGAUACUGACGCUGAGGAGCGAAAGCGUGGGGAGCGAACAGGAUUAGAUACCCUGGUAGU
This 704-nucleotide ribosomal RNA is filed under the name Streptomyces sp. R1O24. RNAcentral's name for it is "bacterial SSU rRNA". It matches the Rfam family "Bacterial small subunit ribosomal RNA", at positions 75 to 794 of the family's 1533-position model. The record is from RNAcentral. Lineage: Bacteria; Bacillati; Actinomycetota; Actinomycetes; Kitasatosporales; Streptomycetaceae.